Molecule: ribosomal RNA, 459 nt
Filed under: Pseudomonas aeruginosa
Lineage: Bacteria; Pseudomonadati; Pseudomonadota; Gammaproteobacteria; Pseudomonadales; Pseudomonadaceae
Description: bacterial SSU rRNA
Rfam family: Bacterial small subunit ribosomal RNA
Source: RNAcentral
CCUACGGGUGGCAGCAGUGAGGAAUAUUGGUCAAUGGACGCAAGUCUGAACCAGCCAAGUAGCGUGCAGGAUGACGGCCCUAUGGGUUGUAAACUGCUUUUAUAUGGGGAUAAAGUGGGGAACGUGUUCCCUUUUGCAGGUACCAUAUGAAUAAGGACCGGCUAAUUCCGUGCCAGCAGCCGCGGUAAUACGGAAGGUUCGGGCGUUAUCCGGAUUUAUUGGGUUUAAAGGGAGCGUAGGCCGUUUGGUAAGCGUGUUGUGAAAUGUAGGAGCUCAACUUCUAGAUUGCAGCGCGAACUGUCAGACUUGAGUGCGCACAACGUAGGCGGAAUUCAUGGUGUAGCGGUGAAAUGCUUAGAUAUCAUGAAGAACUCCGAUUGCGAAGGCAGCUUACGGGAGCGCAACUGACGCUGAAGCUCGAAGGUGCGGGUAUCGAACAGGAUUAGAUACCCUGGUAGU